Anthonomus grandis grandis is the source of this 2483-nucleotide long non-coding RNA. RefSeq lists it as uncharacterized. The transcript is spliced from 2 exons. The record is from RefSeq and is a predicted model, not a curated record. Lineage: Eukaryota; Metazoa; Arthropoda; Insecta; Coleoptera; Curculionidae.
AGCUACCUCGUUUGCCUUCAACUUCUGUCCACAUAAAGCAAUCACCUUGUUUGGAAAAAUAUUACAAAAACUGGAGGAACAUACUUAAUAAUGUCACACUCGACAUUUACUGCAAACAUAGGUUUCUCGAAAAAUAUCUCUAAGGGUUAGCGAAUAAGUCAAGUUAGCCAGGCGCACAACUAGGUAACUUAUAUUAAACACUUGUUGCCCUACAAAUUUUUAUAAUCGCAGGUGCACAAUUAGAUAAUUCAAGGUAGCUACUUUAAGCAGCAGGUAUUUUUUUUAACUGUGCACAUAACUAGUUUUUGUGACUGGAUUCCCGUAAAUUGGAUUGGAGUUGAACUUACCUAGUUGUAGCAUUAAAAAAGGUGUAAAAGGUUAUAAAGGAAAAAGUAGAUAACUCAAAAUCGUGAAAUUUCGAGUUAGCUAGUUGUAGUAUUAAGGGGACGAUAUACAGUAGAGUCUCGAUAACGUGAACAGCCUAAUUGGUAUUUAGCCUAUUCUAAAACGUGAACGCCAAAAAUAUCUCGCCUCUAUAACGUGAACAAAAAAAUAUUUAUAUCGUUUUACCGUUUUACCCGUAGGCAUUAAGCGACAUUUCCUAUGUUCCCUUUGUCGGCAAGUUUAGUACUAACUUAGUGCUUUUGCAUAUUGCAUGUUUGGAAGAGAUAUGAAAUUUGCGUCUUAUUCAGUGUUUGUUCGCCGAUCAAUACGAAACAAGCACGAUGUCUACUAAGAAAGUAAAUUAUUUAACCCUGGAAAAAAAAGCCCAACUCUUGUCCGAUGUUAGUAGAGGUUGCGGAGUUACUUUUUUAGCAAAAAAGUAUGGAAUAACCAAAUCCACGGUGUGUGCAAUUAAGAAGAAAAAAGACCAAAUUACUUCAACAGUUGCCUUGACUUUUUCUGGACCAGGUAAACGAAAAUCUCUUAGACCUUCUGAAUAUCCAUUAAUGGAAAAAGGCUUUGUAUAAGUGGUUUUUGCGACAACGAGAGGGGAAUGCACCAAUAAGUGAUUUAAUUUUAAAAGAGAAAGCCAAAUAUUUUCACGAAAAACUGUACGACAAAAAUUCCACUUUUUCUGCGAGCUCGGGGUGGUUGCAAAAGUUCAAGAAAAGAUUUGGCAUACGCUUCCUAACAAUAACUGGUGAAAAACUAUCUUCUCAGCCCGAGCUGGUUUCACCAUUCUUACGUAAACUUGAAGAAAAAAUCAAGGACUUAAACUUAGACUAUAACCAAGUGUACAACGCCGAUGAAACCGGCUUGUACUGGAAGCUUUUACCCGGAAAGACUUACGUAUCCAGUGAAGAAAAAACUGCCCCUGGAAGAAAAACAGCCAAAGAAAGAAUAACGUUUCUAGCAUGUACAAAUGCGACUGGACUACAUAAAUUGACUCCUUUGGUAAUAGGGAAAGCUAAAAAACCACAAAGUUUUAAGAACUCUUACAUUCCUGUACACUACAAAAACUCACAAUCUGCAUGGAUGACAGCCGGAAUUUUUAAGGAAUGGUUCAAAGAAAUUUUUGUUCCUGAGGUGAGAAAGUUUCUUAAGAAAUAAGGUCUUCCAGAGAAAGCACUUCUUUUAUUGGAUAAUGCCCUCAGUCAUCCCCCAGUAGAGGAACUUUUAUCUGAUGAUAAUGGGACUAAUUCAAGUUAUGUAUAUGCCUCCCAAUGUGACAUCCUUAAUUCAACCUAUGGACCAAAACGUUAUUAGGUUGACUAAACUGCAUUUUCGCUCCAUGUUUUUGGCAAUGGUUGUAGCUAAUAAAUCUAAGAACAUGAAUGUCAUUAUCAAACAAUACAACCUCAGGGAUGCUAUUUUAAACUUAUCACGAGCAUGGAAUAAAUUAGAACCAGCAACCAUUAAAAAGUGUUGGAAAAAUAUUUUCGAAAGCCAAAGCAAUGAUGAUCGUGAACACUUGGCAACUCUUCGUCAAGAAUUGCUAAGCCUGAAUAGCAUUGUAGAGACUAACCUUAGAAGAAAUUGAUCCAGGGCAAGACUUCGAACGUGGAGAUAUCGAAGAAUGGAAUAAAGAUGACUUCGUUGAACAUGAUGAGAAUUGUACUGCAGUGUCUAAUGAUUCAGAAACCGAACAGGAUCAAGAUCCAGAGGUUUCUCAGGCUAUGGAUAAAGUCACUCACGUUGAGGCAGUUCGUAUAUUUAACAGAGGUCUAGAAAGGGCGGAGCAAAACAAUGCCGACUUCGAGGAUAUUCAGUCUUUACACAAAUUACGUGAAUGUGCAACUAUUCUUUCAAACAAACAACGUAUCCGUCAAACAAAGUUAGAUAACUUUUUUCUAAAAACAACGGAUUAAAUAUAAAUAAUGUACAUUGUAGUUACUUCCAUACAUAUACUUACCUAUAUAAUAAAUAUUUUUUUCUUUAUACCAUGUAUAAACAUAUACAUAUACAUUUUCAACUAUGUAUUACUAACUGUAUAACAUGUUUUUGUUUGAUUUUCCAAUAAAAUAUAUAUUCAAAGUACA